UUCCAGACUCCUACGGGAGGCAGCAGUGGGGAAUAUUGCACAAUGGGGGAAACCCUGAUGCAGCGACGCCGCGUGAGCGAUGAAGUAUUUCGGUAUGUAAAGCUCUAUCAGCAGGGAAGAAAAUGACGGUACCUGACUAAGAAGCCCCGGCUAACUACGUGCCAGCAGCCGCGGUAAUACGUAGGGGGCAAGCGUUAUCCGGAUUUACUGGGUGUAAAGGGAGCGUAGACGGCUGUGCAAGCCAGAUGUGAAAGCCCGGGGCUCAACCCCGGGACUGCAUUUGGAACUGUGUGGCUGGAGUGUCGGAGAGGCAGGCGGAAUUCCUAGUGUAGCGGUGAAAUGCGUAGAUAUUAGGAGGAACACCAGUGGCGAAGGCGGCCUGCUGGACGAUGACUGACGUUGAGGCUCGAAAGCGUGGGGAGCAAACAGGAUUAGAUACCCGUGUA
This 446-nucleotide ribosomal RNA is filed under the name uncultured bacterium. Its description in RNAcentral is "bacterial SSU rRNA". It matches the Rfam family "Bacterial small subunit ribosomal RNA", at positions 329 to 792 of the family's 1533-position model. The record is from RNAcentral.